RNAcentral lists this ribosomal RNA (900 nucleotides) under uncultured bacterium. Its description in RNAcentral is "bacterial SSU rRNA". It matches the Rfam family "Bacterial small subunit ribosomal RNA", at positions 505 to 1398 of the family's 1533-position model. The record is from RNAcentral.
GUGCCAGCCGCCGCGGUAAUACAGAGGUCUCAAGCGUUGUUCGGAUUCAUUGGGCGUAAAGGGUGCGUAGGUGGCGGGGCAAGUCUGGUGUGAAAUCCCGGGGCUCAACCCUGGAACUGCACUGGAUACUGCCUUGCUGGAGUACUGGAGAGGAGAUUGGAAUUUACGGUGUAGCAGUGAAAUGCGUAGAUAUCGUAAGGAAGACCAGUGGCGAAGGCGAAUCUCUGGACAGUUACUGACACUGAGGCACGAAGGCCAGGGGAGCAAACGGGAUUAGAUACCCCGGUAGUCCUGGCAGUAAACGGUGCGCGUUUGGUGUGGGAGGAUUCGACCCCUUCCGUGCCGGAGCUAACGCGUUAAACGCGCCGCCUGGGGAGUACGGUCGCAAGAUUAAAACUCAAAGAAAUUGACGGGGGCCCGCACAAGCGGUGGAGUAUGUGGCUUAAUUCGAUGCAACGCGAAGAACCUUACCUGGCCUUGACAUGCAUCUCUAAGCCGGUGAAAGCCGGCGACUCCCGCAAGGGAGAAUUUGCACAGGUGCUGCAUGGCUAUCGUCAGCUCGUGUCGUGAGAUGUUGGGUUAAGUCCCGCAACGAGCGCAACCCAUGUGAACUGUUGCCACCGGCCGCAAGGCCGAGCACUCUGUUCAGACUGCCCUGUGAAACGGGGAGGAAGGUGGGGAUGACGUCAAGUCAGCAUGGCCCUUACGGCCAGGGCUGCACACGUACUACAAUGCUCAGCACAGAACGAGCCGAAACCGCGAGGUGGAGGAAAUCCCUAAAACUGAGCCCAAUUCGGAUCGCAGGCUGCAACUCGCCUGCGUGAAGCCGGAAUCGCUAGUAAUGCCGUAUCAGCUACGACGGCGUGAAUACGUUCCCGGGCCUUGUACACACCGCCCGUC